AUUGAACGCUGGCGGCAGGCCUAACACAUGCCAGUCGAGCGGAUGAAGGGAGCUUGCUCCUGGAUUCAGCGGCGGACGGGUGAGUAAUGCCUAGGAAUCUGCCUGGUAGUGGGGGAUAACGUCCGGAAACGGGCGCUAAUACCGCAUACGUCCUGAGGGAGAAAGUGGGGGAUCUUCGGACCUCACGCUAUCAGAUGAGCCUAGGUCGGAUUAGCUAGUUGGUGGGGUAAAGGCCUACCAAGGCGACGAUCCGUAACUGGUCUGAGAGGAUGAUCAGUCACACUGGAACUGAGACACGGUCCAGACUCCUACGGGAGGCAGCAGUGGGGAAUAUUGGACAAUGGGCGAAAGUCUGAUCCAGCCAUGCCGCGUGUGUGAAGAAGGUCUUCGGAUUGUAAAGCACUUUAAGUUGGGAGGGAGGGCAGUAAGUUAAUACCUUGCUGUUUUGACGUUACCAACAGAAUAAGCACCGGCUAACUUCGUG
Molecule: ribosomal RNA, 484 nt
Filed under: uncultured bacterium
Lineage: Bacteria
Description: partial 16S ribosomal RNA
Rfam family: Bacterial small subunit ribosomal RNA
Source: RNAcentral